AAUUGGAGGGCAAGUCUGGUGCCAGCAGCCGCGGUAAUUCCAGCUCCAAUAGCGUAUAUUAAAGUUGUUGCAGUUAAAAAGCUCGUAGUUGAAUUUCGGGAUCAAUAUUUCGGUCAUGCCGUUGGUAUGCACUGUUAUCAUUGAUUUCUCACCUUCUAAAGAACCGUAAUGCCAUUAAUUUGGUGUUACGGGGAAUUAGGACUGUUACCUUGAAAAAAUUAGAGUGUUUAAAGCAGGCUCACGCUUGAAUACAUUAGCAUGGAAUAAUGAAAUAGGACAUCCGAUCCUAUUUUGUUGGUUUCUAGGAUCGAUGUAAUGAUUAAUAGGGAUAGUUGGGGGCAUUAGUAUUCAAUUGUCAGAGGUGAAAUUCUUGGAUUUAUUGAAGACUAACUACUGCGAAAGCAUUUGCCAAGGAUGUUUUCAUUAAUCAAGAACGAAAGUUAGGGGAUCGAAGACGAUCAGAUACCGUCGUAGUCUUAACCAUAAACUAUGCCGACUAGGGAUCGGAUGAUGUUAAUUUUUUAAUGACUCAUUCGGCGCCUUACGGGAAACCAAAGUGU
Molecule: ribosomal RNA, 560 nt
Filed under: uncultured Glomus
Lineage: Eukaryota; Fungi; Glomeromycota; Glomeromycetes; Glomerales; Glomeraceae
Description: SSU rRNA
Rfam family: Eukaryotic small subunit ribosomal RNA
Source: RNAcentral